RNAcentral lists this ribosomal RNA (181 nucleotides) under Eyprepocnemis plorans. RNAcentral's name for it is "partial 18S ribosomal RNA". It matches the Rfam family "Eukaryotic small subunit ribosomal RNA", at positions 1656 to 1831 of the family's 1831-position model. The record is from RNAcentral. Lineage: Eukaryota; Metazoa; Arthropoda; Insecta; Orthoptera; Acrididae.
GCUUUUGUACACACCGCCCGUCGCUACUACCGAUUGAAUGAUUUAGUGAGGUCUUCGGACUGGUACGCGGCAUCGACUCUGUCGUUGCCGAUGCUACCGGAAAGAUGACCAAACUUGAUCAUUUAGAGGAAGUAAAAGUCGUAACAAGGUCUCCGUAGGUGAACCUACGGAAGGAUCAUUA